Bubalus bubalis (water buffalo) is the source of this 3863-nucleotide long non-coding RNA. RefSeq lists it as uncharacterized. The transcript has 5 exons. Lineage: Eukaryota; Metazoa; Chordata; Mammalia; Artiodactyla; Bovidae. The record is from RefSeq and is a predicted model, not a curated record.
CCUGUGGAGCCACUCUCUAGCCAAUGCGUGUUUGGGUUGGUUCCAGUUUUGCCUGUUACAAAUGCAGCUGCGGUGAACAUUCGUGUCCAAGUCCGCGUGGACAUGAGUUUUCCUUUCUCUGGGAUAAAUGCCUAGGAGGGGAAUGGCCUGACCAUAUGGAAGGUGUAUGCUCCACUUUUGAAAAAGCUACCAAAUGUUUUCCAGAGUGCUUGAACCAUUUUCCACUCCCAUCAGCAGAGGAGGAGGGUCCCAGAGGAGGGUGGGGACUGGAACCCCGGCUCAGCCCACUACAGAGCUUGUGUCCCUCACUGCCAGGCCCCAGCCCUCCAGGACCGUCUGUCUCAGCUGGCCUUGCGCCCCCGGGGCCUCUGGGCUGCAGGAGAGGGACCAACCCACAGCAGGGGGCUGGGCUGCCAUCUCGCCCUCCCCUCCAGAGGUCUGGCUUCCCUUUCCAGCAGAGAGCUGCCUUCCCCAGCCCCCCACCCUCUGCCUUCCCCAGCCCCCCACACUCUGCCUUCUCUGGCCCCCCUGGACGACAAAGCUGGGCACACAGCGGGUGCCCGGCAGAUGUCGCUGGGCCCAGGAAGCAAUGGGCUGGACCUCCCUGGGUUCUUGUCUCUGGCUGUGUGAGGGGGCCUGGGGCCUCCCAGGCCCCCUGACAAAGGCUCCUGGGUGGUGGGGGGAACGCUGAGGGUUUCACUGGGCUCCUUACCAAGCUGGUGAGAGGCAGACGCUUUACCGUCUGAGCCACCAGGGAAGCCCUGUGAUGGGGAAGCAGAUGGCAAAGCACACUGGUACCUCCGAGGCCCGCCUUUCCUAGGUGAGAAAGCAAGACUCAGAGAGGUGAGGUCACUUGCCCAGGGUCACCCAGCUGGUAAUGGGAAGUGCCACACUCUGGGCCGUCCAGAAGGAGAUGGGGAAACUGAGGCCCAGAGAGGUGAAAACAACUUCCCACGGCCUUGCUAACCCAAACCCCACUGAACGUGAGGCCCACGCGAAUCUGCGUUCCAGGAGGUUGUAGGGGGCGUGCAGGGAGGGGAAGAAGUUAGGGAAUGGGGUGUUUUCUGCUCCCCAGGGUUGUCCUCCGGCCUUCCCUGGCCCCUCAGUCAAUCGGCUUGUCCAUCAGCCACAAGGGAGAUGUAGAUGUAGCCGUGAUUCUGGGGGACAGCGACAGAGUCCAGGCUCCUGAGAUAAUGGAGAGAGUGCCUGGUGGGGGCAGAGGACACAAAAGAUGCUGUGAGGAUCUGACAUACAUGAGACACACGUGUACACACACCACACGUCAUAUUCAUACAUGCAGCACACACCACACAUGCCACAUGCACACCCCUUCACACACACUGUGUAUAACACACAGCCCACACACUCCAUACUGAACAUACAUACCACAAACAACACACCAUACCUCACAUACACAUACCACAAACAACACACUAUACCUCACACACACAUACCACAUACACACACACACACCAUACAUAAUACCUAACACCCUUUGCGUGGACCCCUUCACCCAGUCCCCACAAUCACCCACAAUCAGUGAAGUAGGUGCCGUCAAUACCCCCAUUUUAAUGAUUGGGAAACUGAGGCUCAAGGAUUUGGAGCUUGGAACAGAUGGAAGUGUCAUGGAACACAGGUCAGCCUGUCUCCAGAAGCCACACUGAACGUUCCCUCCGAUGCACAAACAACAAAAUCAAGAACCAAGACACCACCUCCCUGCAGACAGAGCCCCUCCCGGCUGACUUAGGCACCAUCUGGGGCCACGAGGUCCCCCUCUGGGGCAUGGAGGCAUUUUGGAGGCGAGAGGGAGGCCGGGACUGGAUGCCAGCAGGAGGAGAGAGCCCCCUUCACCUGAGGGACACGGACCACUCCACCUCCUCAUGGGAGGACGUAGGGAAGAACCUGACCCAGACCACCCAGACUGCAUCCGACACCAUGGCUUCCACAUCCCAGGACCCCCAGGCAGGAGGGUGAGGGGCUUCCUUCCCCUGCCUCCGUGAGGACUGGGGCCCUGGACCCUGUUUUCCCCGAGGCCAUUUUCCCCACCCAGCCCUGGUCCAGCACGGCCCCACCAGCCAGUACCUAGGGAAGGGGAGGGGGAUCCUGCGUCCCCCAGCCUCCCUGGUCCUCCCUGUGCACCCUCAGGACAGCAGCUCUCUGAUGCCAGCAAUACUGCGUGCUGGGGAAGGCCAACCUGUUCUCUGCAGCCCUGAAAGGGCAAGACUGGACACAACCUCUGUGCCCAUCCUUCGGGGAGUGGACCUCCGCCUGCAGGAGCAUGCGCACAAGAGAACACUCAGCAGCCACGAGACAGAGUGGGGUCGCCACACAUAUAAACCUGGAAGUGACAGUGUCUCAGGCAUGUCUGACCAUUUGUGACCCCGUGGACUGUAGCCUGCCAGGCUUCUCUGUCCAUGGGAUUCUCCAGGCAAGAAUACUGGAGUCAGUUGCCAUUUCUCUUCGCCAGGGGAUCUUCCCAACCCAGGGAUCGAACUUGAGUCUCCUGCUUGGCAGGCAGAUUCUUUACCAUCUGAGCCACCAAGGAAGCCCGUAGACCCGGAAAGGAGAUCGUCAUGUGUAAAGGAAAAUAAAGCGCUAAACAGGAUGUAUGGCACUGCUUGGCUUUUAUCAAAAGUAUUGAUAUGUGUUUCCAUUGACAGAAAAACCUGGAAGUCUUCGUGGUCAAUUCUGGACGCAGGGUAUCUGGGGAGCUGAACUGUGAGGAGGAGGGAGGGAGAUGACUUUACUAUUUUCUUUACACCUUCUGCUCUGUGACAAUGAAGACGGCUCAUUUUGCUAAUUAAAAAAAUAAGCAAAUAGUGGUAGGCGUGGAGUGGGGCAUCCUGAGUGUCUUCCAAAGAUACAAGAACUUCCUUCCCAACCUCAGUUCAGACAAAAGUGGGGGCUCCAUUCACAAGGCUGGGGCUCUCUUCUCCUCUCUGAUGCCUCAGUGGUGGUCAAGGGGUGGACUGCUGGGUGGUUUUCAGCAUCACUCUCCUAAUUUGGGACCAAGAGGCGUUCUGAGAAAACCAGCAGAGUCUUGGCCUGGAGAAGCCUGAAAUCUUUGGAGUAAGACAGGUGGGUACAUCCUCACAGAGAUAAAAGCCAUCAUCCCACGGGCGAGAGGUGGCGGUGGGGUGGGGGCACCUCCCUGCGCUCGGUGCUCCGCCCAGAUCUUCACACACAUCGGCUCACUGACCACAGUGCUGUGGGUGUUCUCAUUUUACUGAUGAGGAAACUGCCUCAGAGAGGGGCCCGGCGGGGAGCAGACCCAGUGGGUCUGUGCUCCAGCCUCUUCAAGGACAGAGUCAUCCCGCCAUCAAGUCAUCCCCGAGAGGCAAUGGAGACACCAGACGGACGCAGGCUGAGGCUCCGGAAGGCGAAGUGACUUGCCCGAGGUCUCCUCACUAGAAAGAGACGAGCGUCAGGAUUCAGGCCAAGCUAGCGGUGGACAUGUGACCGAGUUCUGGCCAAUGAGGUGAAGGCAAAAGAUGCUGGGGAAGAUUCCCUUUCCUGAGUUACACAGCAAAAAUUCCAAGGAAUUCACCCUGCCCCCUUCUUCCUGCUUGGAAUGUGGACGUGAUGACCAGAGGUGCAGCAGCCAUCUUAUAACCAAGAGGAGCUCCCGAGUGCCCCGUUAGGGACAGUGCCCAGUGCUCUGCUGUGUACUCAGCGCUCCAGGUCUUGCUGUGUCAGAGACAGUGUGAGAUUUCCAAAUGUUCUUUUUGGGGAAGAGUAUCUCUUCAUUUCAGAGAAGGCAAUGGCACCCCACUCCAGUACUCUUGCCUGGAAAAUCCCAUGGACGGAGGAUCCUGGAAGGCUGCAGUCCAUGGGGUCGCUGAGGGUCAGACACGACUGAGUGA